AGCAGCCGCGGUAAUUCCAGCUCCAAUAGCGUAUAUUAAAGUUGUUGCAGUUAAAAAGCUCGUAGUUGAAUUUCGGGGUUAGUAGGUUGGUCAUGCCUCUGGUAUGUACUGGUCUCACUGAUUCCUCUUUCCUGAUGAACCGUAAUGCCAUUAAUUUGGUGUUGCGGGGAAUUUGGACUGUUACUUUAGAAAAAUUGAGUGUUUAAAGCAAGCUAACGCUUGAAUACAUUAGCAUGGAAUAAUGAAAUAGGACGUUCGAUCCUAUUUUGUGGUUUCUAGGAUCAACGUAAUGAUUAAUAGGGAUAGUUGGGGCAUUAGUAUUCAAUUGUCAGAGGUGAAAUUCUUGGAUUUAUGAAGACUAACUACUG
This 368-nucleotide ribosomal RNA is filed under the name uncultured Glomus. RNAcentral describes it as "SSU rRNA". It matches the Rfam family "Eukaryotic small subunit ribosomal RNA", at positions 569 to 945 of the family's 1831-position model. The record is from RNAcentral. Lineage: Eukaryota; Fungi; Glomeromycota; Glomeromycetes; Glomerales; Glomeraceae.